RNAcentral lists this unclassified non-coding RNA (307 nucleotides) under Hevea brasiliensis (rubber tree). The record is from RNAcentral. Lineage: Eukaryota; Viridiplantae; Streptophyta; Magnoliopsida; Malpighiales; Euphorbiaceae.
UCUCCUUCUCUCGAGUUCCUUUUGAAGCUGUGAGACUCAAUUGAUCGCCAUCGUCAGUAAAUUUCACCAGAACAGCAACAGAAUUCUUAAUAAAUUGGAAGCGCUCGUUUCGCCACAUGAUCCGUGUAUAUUUGAGCUCUGUUGUUUCAAUUAAAUUAGGGUUAGGGUUUUCUUCCCCAUUAGAGAGGCCCUAAAUUCUGUUGUAUUCUGUUCUUCUAGUUAUAUUAUCUAUAGUACUAUUGAAUUUAGGGUUUGGUUUUUUUUUUUUCACUUGUUAUUUUGGAUUUUUGUUUCUAAAAGUUUAGGC